AACGAACGCUGGCGGCAUGCCUAACACAUGCAAGUCGAACGAGACCUUCGGGUCUAGUGGCGCACGGGUGCGUAACGCGUGGGAACCUGCCCUUAGGUUCGGAAUAACUCCCCGAAAGGGGUGCUAAUACCGGAUAAUGUCUUCGGACCAAAGAUUUAUCGCCUUUGGAUGGGCCCGCGUUGGAUUAGCUAGUUGGUAGGGUAAAAGCCUACCAAGGCGACGAUCCAUAGCUGGUCUGAGAGGAUGAUCAGCCACACUGGGACUGAGACACGGCCCAGACUCCUACGGGAGGCAGCAGUGGGUAAUAUUGGACAAUGGGCGAAAGCCUGAUCCAGCAAUGCCGCGUGAGUGAUGAAGGCCUUAGGGUUGUAAAGCUCUUUUACCCGUGAUGAUAAUGACAGUACCGAGAGAAUAAGCUCCGGCUAACUCCGUG
Molecule: ribosomal RNA, 433 nt
Filed under: uncultured bacterium
Lineage: Bacteria
Description: partial 16S ribosomal RNA
Rfam family: Bacterial small subunit ribosomal RNA
Source: RNAcentral